This is a non-coding RNA of Xyrichtys novacula (pearly razorfish), 13709 nucleotides long. The record is from the annotation of a GenBank genome assembly. Lineage: Eukaryota; Metazoa; Chordata; Actinopteri; Labriformes; Labridae.
GGAGGUUCUCUGACUGAAAUGCUCACCAGAUCAGCAAAGUGAACCCUCUGAAACGUGAGCUAAUUCUCUUUUUAAUCCUUUUAGCUGCUUUUUCUCCCCCUUUUUAUCUAUGUCACUUCUGUCCUCACUCAACCCCCCUCCCUCCCUCCCUCCAUCCCUCUCUCUCUUUACUCUUUCUCCUUCCACUCUUUUUUCUGAGGGACGUGUCAGCAAGAGUUCUUGUUGAGCAGAGGAAGGUGAGGCUGGGAAGGACGAAGCUUCUAGGAAUUAUUGUGUGUGUGUAUGUGUGAGUUUACGUGUGUGUAAGCGUUGGCUAAGUGAAGAGGGUAAGUGUGAAGAGAGCUGACUGUGUAGGCUGCUCCUUUUCCUCUCUGUUUUUUCUUCAAGAAAAGCUCUGACAGCUGCAGGUUUGAUUUCUCGGGUUGUCAAAAGUCAUCUUUGUUAGUCCUCCGCUCCAAAUGAAUGGCAGCGGAUUAGGGGGGAAAAAAAGAGGCGUGUUCACACAUGGAGCCGUAGGUGGGCUUUGCCUCGAGUGGUUUCCAUAAAGAAAAAGGAAAAAAAAUCACACAACAUUACUCCAGGGGCCUCUGAAAGGAAAAAGAAAAUCGCACAUUACUCCAGAGGCACCCAUUGUCUUACCUACUAAAACCCAGCAUAUCAGAUGCCUACAGAUGCCCCCCCUCCUGCAUCUGCACAUAUAGCUGAGAGCCUGCAUAGAAAGAUACAAAUUGUCUCUCGUGCUGUGAGGUUGCUGGAACAUAAAUUGAGGGGAGAGGCAUUGUUGUCAGUGAGUAAUAUACUUAGCAUUAUUCAUAAAGAAGAGAGGAGAUUAAAAGAGGUUGGCUGGAGUUGAAAAAAGGCACUUGACUGCAGAGCUGACACAGCAGUUACAUAUGGCCUAAUGUUGGUACUUUUAUCGGCUGCAAUUGUCAGGAGAAUAUUUAUAUCCCUGAGGUUGUUUCUACUGUGCACGGCUUUGAAGUGAUAUAGAAAAAAUAAAUGACUAGAAUAAUCGUGCAUCUCUAUCAAAUCUGACUCUAGCUGGUACAAACAACUGAGCUAAUUCAUUGCUGCUAAACUUUUGUGCAGCUGAUUGAAAUUGUGGUAUUGAUUUUAUGUUUCACCAUUAAAGUUCUUGCAUUUACUAUUUGGUAUUAGAUGUUUUUUUUUCUGUUUAUUUAGAUCAAACAAAUUUUAAACAGUGUACAAUACUGUAAAACAUGCCCACAUUUUAUUAGUAAUAAAAGAUUUUUAAUAAAAUCAAGCAAAUCGUAAGUAAGUCAUUCAUGGUUUUACAUAUUUUCUGCUUGUUUUUUUUUAGGCUCACUUGUUUUGUGUGAUUUUUUUCUCUCUCUUUUAAAGGCACUGUAAGGAGUUUCAUGUUCUGCUCAUUCUGGUGAUCCCAUUGGACAAAAUCACUCAGAGACCGUUUUCAGGAAAGAGGACAACAUUUGCUAUAUGUUUUUUGUUGUAGAUACAGAUCAAUGAGACACAUCUCUUUAAUGACAACUUUUUAUUUAAGACAACUUUUUGGAGGAUGCAGUUAUUUAUUGAUUUUGAAAAAUUAGUGUGAUACAACAACAACCGUAAACUUUAGUUUAUAAACACUGGGUCGCAAAAAAAGUUAACACCAAUGUUGACAUUCUGACGGUUUGCCUCUCUUCCUGCUGCAAUAGAAAAGUCUCUACAGCAUCAUAUCCACAAAGAUCCAGGGAUUAUUGGAAAUCUAUACGGCUGUGUGAUCAUGCUCACGUUGUUUGUGAUCCAUCCAUCCAGCUAUGUGGUGCAUGUGUUGGCAGAGUGAUACUAUGCUAUGGCUUCAGUGAAAAAGUUAAAGUUGAAGAGAAUUGUUUUCAAACUAAUGUCUAUAUUUAAAAUCCAUUUAAAAUUUGAUGCUGAUAAACAAUGAUUAAUGGAUCAAGGGAUGCAUGCCCAGCUCUGUCUGCUUACCUUUCACUGCCAAACUAAACUGGCAAGGUCCUAAAUCACAUCUGAGCAGGUGCCAAAUAUUAUGUAAUUUUUUUUUUUUUCUCUGAAAAUAUGACCCAAACACAGGUACAAAAUUUACUGUAAAGAAACAGCCCAACUUGUCACUGAUAACCUCAUUGUACUAUGUAGGUCAUAAAAGGCAUCAGUAUAACAUUGAUGCUUCAUUUUUAAUCAGUUUAAAUCUUCUCACAGGGCGUAAAGACUCAGAAAACUCUGUAAAAGUUUAUUUUUUAAACUUUUUCUCUAGUAUCCCUCAAAAUGGCUGCAAUUAUCUGCUUUUGUGAGAAGUUAAUAAACUGUUUUACCUCUUUCUUUUUUUCGUCAGUGAAACCUUAACUUGUGCAAGUGGACCUUUAUAAUAUGACUUCCAGCACAGUCAGCUGGUCCCUGAAAGCAGCACCACUCAGAGGGCCCAGUAAUUCUGUUCUUGGCACCUUCCUUUUUUUCCCUCCAGAUCCCCAGGCUUCUCUUUUAAAACCUUAAGAAUAAAAACACAGAGAUUGUCCCUGAAAUUAAAUGUUUUCAUAAUUAUUCACGUGAGAUUCUUCUCAAAAGUAAAUCCCAACCUUGAGAAACAACUUGCCAAGCACUGUUGUGAAUGAUCCAAAAAAUCGGCACACUUUCAACCGUAAAAUCUUGAUUCAGCUCUCAAGGCUUGGUUCUGUCCUAUCAACACUCUAAAUUACUCCAACAUCUUACCCUGAACUAACCAGAGCCCUUUCUUCCCGCUGUCAUCAGUGUCAGCAGUAAAUUAAGCGGCGGGCUGAGCAACAACCCCUUGACUUUUAUUGAGGCUGGGGUCUAAUUAUAAUUCACUGGACCAGACCUUUUGUGUCACUGAGUGCUUCAUUUGCAGUUUGCAGUUUGCAUGAACCCCAGAGACAUUAACUCCGUCCCCUUCUACAUUCAUUACAAUGCUAUUAGUCUCUGCGAAUUGAUCAAUAUAUCAUGUAUAGAACAUCUUGAAUGUGGAUGUCUGGCUCUUUUGUGAGCCCGGAGAUAAUGGUUUCCCCAUUCAAGCCUGCUUGUAGGAACAUGGAGAUAAAGCAAAGCAGGGAAGAGUUAUUCCGCUUACAGCUAUAUGGAGAAGGAGGCUAUCUCAUCCAGAUUAUAAGUGGGUGAACUUAAAACGCAUAAAAAGGGACCGUUUAUGUAAGGAGGAGAGCAGCGCUGGAGGAGGGUGUAGAGAUCUGAAAGACUAAAAUCUGGCACUAUAGUACUUCUCCUCAGGUGUCCAAGAGAGAAGAAAUCACGUAUCCACUCUUCACAGAGCAGCCAGAGAGAGGAGUGAAGCAGUGCCAGACGCUAGUCCUCAUACAACUGAGGCAACAAUGUAUGGAAAGUAUGGGAGAGAUAAAAACUUCAAAUUAAUUUUAAUACUUUUCCCCCAUGAUCUAAAUGCUUUCCUUGAAACUCAAAGUCAUCGGAUCACCUUUGGUUGUGAUAAUCUUGUUCAACAUCAAAUAAAAAAAAGGGUUCAUUGAUUAAAAAAUGUGGGGAAAAGUCUAGAUACCGAGUAAGUCAGCUGACUUCAGUCUGUAAUAUUUUGGGCGUACCAGCAGGGAAGAGGUAACCUUUGCAAAUGGAUAAAACUGCAGUUCCUCGAUUGUCCACUUGGUAAUCGGUUCAUCCGUUUUUAACUCUUUAUAUGAGUUCAGUCAACAACACAGAGGAAAGAGUAAUGCUGUAGUUCUCUUUUAAAUUUACACAAUAGUUCAUACAUUUUAUACUGUCAAAAUGUGAUGAUUGGGCUAACAGAAGAGUCAAUGACAUCACUUCUUCUUGUACUACACUCUUACCUAUCAUAACACUGCUGAAUGCCUAUGUAGUAGUCAUCUGUCAGCAACUAUUAUGGCUGUCUAGUGGGGAUCUGUCUACACGUGUUAACUUGUCAAAAGUAAACAUACACACAGUCUGAGUAAAAAUCUGGGUCUCAUCGUAUUUCCCUUGAAGCACAUUCUGCUUCUACACAUAGUCUGUGCAUUGCGGUCCCCCUAGAGAAAGCAGACACAGAAGAUGGUCCAUGAUAACGUUUGUUAUUUGGGAGGAGAUUCGGUGCCUUCAUAGAAUCUCUAGAGGGCAGUAGUACAAAUGUUUUAUAUUCAGAGAAGACUUGCUUCAGCCUGUGAUAAGCAGCAGUGAUCCUAUUGGCAUGUGGGGGAGAGAGAGGUUUUUCAAAGAGGAAGAGGCUGCUCAGACAAACUGCAGUGGAGGCCUCCCUCUUAGGCACUUGGACUUCUUUGUGAUUACAGGAUGAGGGGACCACAGUCACACUAAAUACCCCUGUGCUGGUAUAGAUUAAUGUGGCUUUAAGAUGAGCCAAAUGCAUGCUAACAUCCCCAUGUAGAAGUUGAGAGGGUUUAAGGAGUUUAACCCUUUGAAUACUUCACCAUGACAGGAUGCAAACAAGUGGGCUUAGAAGUGUUUACACUUUAUUUUAUCACAUGUGGGACCAUGAAUCCUACUUUUUUAUUCACAGAAAAAUGCUAAAAAGAUAAUAAUUCAGGCCAUGAAAUCAAGUCAAGGGCAAAUGAUUUUCAGCUCAUAUUGUGUCACUCCUUUUUAUGCCGUAACAUCACCCUGAUUAAUAAUGAAGUAUCUGGAAAGCAGAAGCUACUUUUACCCCACUGGAGUUUUGACCUUUAAAGAUGUUGGCGUUAAAAAGAAUAAACAAAAGAAAAAAAAAACCCUAAAGCAUUCUGCUACAGCCCUAAGGCUUCCUCUGCAAAGACAUGCAUGAGGGACGAAGACAAACUCUAUCUGAUGUGCACAUACACACACAAAAACACGCCCGCACACACAUCUCUUGGCAGACUAACAGCCGUGGAGCCUGGGUUUGAAUUCACUCUGCGGUGGAGCGUUUAAAUGAGCUUUAAUUUAGCAUCCUGCUGGCUCAAUUGGGAUUGUAAUAGAACACAUUACACCUUGUCCUGCAACAGAAGCGCUCUCCCUUCCUCUCUCCGGGACUCGCUCUCCCUUUUCGCUCUCUCUCAGUCCUGGGAGAAUUGAUUUUUCCAAAUGCAGGGGAACAAAUCAAAGGACAGAAUGAUUGUGUGGCACAGAGUAACGGUAGACAUGACAUUGUAAUCAAUUUGACUAUUAACUCACCGAUGUUUUCCCCUACUCUACAAGAAUUUUUUAGACUAUUACGUAAUGAGUUAGUGACACACUACUCCUGUGGUAAUUACAAAUUUGUUAAACAAAAACAGGUAGCAGUGAGUUGGUGAAGCCUUUAAAGUUGCCAAAAGGUGACUUGUGGAACAUGCGUCGGCACUGAAGUAAUCAAGACACAAUGUAAUUGUUUAUUUGUGCAAUCACAGCCGGAAGCUCUUGUUCUGCGCUGAAUCAAGAGAACUAAAAAUGUCACUUAAGAGGGUCUGUCUCUCUCAUGUUGAAUUUCUGAUUCACUGGCACUCUUUUCUUCUUAGGAAACCUGCAACAUCAAUCAAAACACUGAGGUGACCUCCAUGUUUUUUGAAUCUCGAGACCUCAAAAUUCAUGCUCUCCAUUAUUCUUUUUGAUUUUUCUUCUCAUAUUAAAGAUACACUGUGUUGUCAUCAACCAGAGCAUAAUGUAAAAUUUCUCUACAUAUAUUUAAUUUAGAAAAAAAACAAAGCAAAAGCCAAAGUGUGUGUGAUACAGGUAAGAAACUCUGGGGUAGUCGAGUGGUCAAGGCUGACAAAGAGACUUUGGAACCCAAGUAGAGUUGCCAGCGUCCAUUUCCAGCCUGAGGCCCCUUUCUCCACAAUCACUCUCUAUGGUUACUCGCUCUAUCCACUGUCCUAUUCUCUCUGAAAAAAAGGAUAAAAGCCCCAAAAUAUAACGUUACUCUCUGGGCUUAAGUACACAAGUAGUUGUCACAUAACAGUAACUCUAAGACAGAAGUGACAACAUAGUGGGCCAUGUUUUAAGAGGGAUUAUGAAAUGUUAAGUCAUAGUACAAUAUGGAGAGGACAGGAAAGGGGAGGCAGCUGGUAAGAAGUCCCAGUAGUCCACAUCAUAAUCACUGAUUCCUUGAAUGACAAUGGUGUACCAAUGGCAGCAUCUACCAGGCUGCCAUUGCCUGAGAUCCAGAGGGUUAUCAUCAAACAGUAGGUCUACAGAACUUCAUACAUUUUACGUUAAGUUGAAAUUCACUCUUGAUUUCAACUGGGGUGCCGAGGGUCACUUGACUUUUCUUUGUCUAUGGAUACAAGCAGGACAAGUUUCUUUGAUCACUACUUUAAUGCAACUCAAACAAAUGGACUUAGGGCUCAAACUGGAGCAACAAACAUGGCUAAACAAAGCAACAUGCCAUCCGAAACCAAGAGUGACCCCACCCUCCAUCCAAUAUAACAACAAUAUAUCCAUCCUCUCCUGUCGAAAGAGCUCACCUUGACAGCUCCUCCAGUCGCCCUGUUCUAAGUGGAUGAUUAAAAAGAGAUGGAGGGGUUUUACUAGGGGCUGGUAUGCGUGGCAUCCCAAGAGCCCCUGCUCCAAGCUAGCCAAGCGGAGCGAGCUACAGCUGUCCUCCAAACAAGCCCUGCCAUCCUUUAUUUAUUUCUGCUGAAAUAUUGAUGCAUGUUAUGAAAGGUUUAAAAUAAUGUGUCUGCCUUCUUUUUUUUCCUUCGGCCCAGCACACUGUUUUCUAAUGCAUAAAUAAUUCUUCCCUCGGACGCUGCGUGGACACCAGCUCAGGCACAUUAGGUUAGGAUGUAUCACAUUCUUUCUGCCUGAGAGAAAAUACCCAUCCCUUGUAAUUUCCUACACUUAUACAAUCCACGUUGACAGUAAAUAAUUGAUGUAUGAAUUUAGGGCUAAAACUCCAACACAAUAUGACUUCAUGUCAAGGGUUAGUCCCUGCAGAUUUGAAGCCAAAUCAUCUCGCAAAAUGGAUUCUUCCUCCCCACAAAAGGGGGAUCCUCUUUGAGUCCCCACCUUUUAUUCCCCCCCUAAGCGUCCUCCUUUCCAAUAGAAAGAGGGGCUUGGAGCCCCACUUGAUGAGGUCUUGCUUUGCAUGGCUGGUGAUAACUGAGUGAUUUAGCCCAUUAUUAGCUGAGGAUGUGUUUUGUUUUUGAACACAAAUGGGUUUUCACACUGACAUGAACCCGCCUUUGAUUGUGUCAGAGAAAGAGUGUGAGCCGGGCACUGUAUAGGGAGUGCCCUCUCACUUCUCAUCUCAGUGUCUGUGUUGCGAUGUACAAUUACCCCUCCAAAUCUGCAGGCCAGAUCCAUUUAGGAGAUAAGAAGAGGAAGAGAAUGGAGACAAAAAGGUGAAUGGGGUGGAAUAAUAAUUUAAUCUCUGUGCUUCAAUUAACACGUAGUGGCCGGAACAGCUGCUUUCAGUGCUGAACAGUCAAACAUGUCAUUGGCAGGGGGUUGUACUACAAGAGGGGCACAAAAGUCCUUGAAUAAAAAUACUGCUUCUAGCUUGUAACAUGGUUUUGCUUAAAUGUCAUCAAACAACCUGAGAGAUAAUAUAAAUAACAUCCAGCUGGGAACUGGUAUUAUUACGUAACUGAGCACAUGGGCUUCACGCACUAUGUGGUAAAGUUCUCAGUUCAGCUCUUCUGACAAAAGCCAACAAAGACAUGGUUUUCUGGUGUGAGGUAUGUCAAGCAUCAUUCUACUCACCAUGCUUGGAAGGUUAUUGGGCAACCAUGAUUUGAAAUCAUAACAUUUAACAUGUUCAUUGAACAACCAGGAACCCCUUUUUGCUGGGGUUACCCUGUCAACUGAUAAGCGUGCACUCUGUGGGUUGUGGAGUGGGAUAGAACGAUAGCAAUGAGGGCAGCAAGUUGACAAGAGAACGACAACAAAUGCCACAGCUACAAUAGUUCACAGGAAACAUUAAUAUAGAUGAAUGUCAAACAUGAAGGACCAAGUGUGGGAACUCAAGCAUUCAUACUAAAUAUAAUAUACCACUUUACUGUAAGUCACUUUUUGCAUCAAGACAUUUUGCACCAUAUCCAGUUUUAAUUAUUGUGAACCUAGUGGUACAAGGAAUCUGUCAGUUUGUUCUGUGUUGAACAUCUUAUUACACAUCACACAUGAUGGGUAAAACGGUUAAAUCUGUUAUUUUCUCUCAAUAUUUUAGAAUUUCUCACUUAUAGACAGAUAAAACUUCAACAAAUGUGAUUUGAGUUCAUAAUCAAGCACAUAUAAGAGACGUGUUAUUUAGGGUGACCAUAUUCGGACUUCCCAAAGAGAGGACACAACUACGCCGGGGCGGAGAUGCACAAAGUUAAUUUUGAGAGUUUUUCAGGUCGAGUGUCUUUUAUGAGCUUCUAACUCAGUUAUUCCAUGUGACACAAACUUGAAACUUCCGUGCAAAACCACAGAUAUUUGAAGGAUUUUAUAAACUUCCCCGGACAGCCCGGACAGCGCCUCCCCACAAAAGAGGACAUGUCUGGGUAAAAGGGGAUGAAUGGUCACCCUAGUGUUAUUUUAUCACCUAUUCAGUAUAACAAAUGCCAAAGUGUACCAAGAAAUGACCCUGAAUUAGUUUUUACUUAGUCUAGCUAGGAUACUGUCUGUUGACUUGAGCUAACAAUUGAUACAAGCUGCUUGAGCAUGCACAACAAAAGUCUGCCCAGUUGAUCUCUUUCUGUUUAAAAGCCCACUGAAACCCCCCAAACUUAAAGGACUGCAGAUCUAUGGCCAAAUUUCAAGAUUUCAGCACUCUCUCAGUCAGGUUUGAGCACCAGAGUUACUUGAGAAGCAGAAUAUGAGACAAAAAUACACAGUCUGGGUUAUAAUAUUUAAUCAUUAUUGACAGUGGGUGUCACACAAACAUCUCUGAGAAUAAUUUGAAGUUUGUGAGGCAAGAUUUUUCUAUUACAUGGGAGGGUAUGUUACAGCACUUUUCAUGCUGCAGUCAGAGAAAAAAUGUUGAGUCCUGAAAAGAGAGAUUGCAAAGGAAAGUUCAGAAACUCACAAGUAAUCACACAAAAAGUUCUAUUAAAGUGUGACAUUGAAAUACGCCACAAAAUGUCUACCUAUACCUUUUAAAAUUUGCUGUGUAAAACUUUUCGCUGACACAAUGUUUGUAAGAAAAACCGUCUGUGUAUCUUCAAAUAAUGACCACAGAGUUAAUGUCUGUGUUUCUUGAGGAAGAAUUUUAGCAAAAACAACAUAGUGUUGGUCAGUUCAUGUAUUUUCAAAGUACAAUAUGAUAACACUGUUUUUUUGUUGUUGUUGUUUUUUCUGUUUUAUCUCUAUAACAUAAGCUUAAUAUACAUGUGACAGUGUAAAGGGAAAAUGUUGUUAUUAAUAUUUAUAUAUGUGUGUAAUUUUAUCAAUCCCCAGUGUGUGAAAACAACUGUGAAAAUAUGCUACAAGAAAAACAAUUAUCUCACAAAAUGCACCUGUCACCUUUUUUCACUACACUGUAAAAAAAUGUCAGUUGUUGAAGACGCUAACACUUUGAUACGCCCGACUCCCAGAGAAGCGUGAAAAGAUACAAAUCUGCCUGAGAUUGCCAUGGAGGCUGUGUAAUGAGGGCGAGGUAGAGGCAGAUACUGUUUUGAUAUGAGCUGGUCAGUCCUCACACCCUCAGGGGUUUUCUCAGACAUUUAUCGUGAACAGAAAUGACCUCAGGACCUGCCCUAACCUCUGAGGGACUCUUGGAUCAAUGACAUCUUUGCCUUUCCCCCCUCUUCCUCCACACCGCUGCACUGGCUUUAGGAACAAGAAGUGCUUCAGGCUACACACACACACACUCUGCCUGCCACACACUCUUUAGAUUGACAAGCAUACGUGUGUGUGUUUGUGUGAGUCCAGUCCCUCUAGUGUACCCUUGACCACCUUGCAGUGUAAUCACCACACACAGCUGCCACCUGCCUCUGUCUCUUUCUCUCAUUUUGUCUCUGCUCACCCCCUCCGACACUAUGACUAGUAUGAUCUCAACUCUGGAUCCUAAUGUCUCCAGCCAUGAUUAAUCUGAUAAAUAAUAAAUAUAUCAAUCUAGCCUCUCGACAAGGACUAAUUCUAACCAGCGGGAAGGCACGAGCCCCCUCUAAAUGCUGCCUGUAGCUGCCAAAUUAAUUAUUUAAUGAUUAAUUCUUUAGGAAAUGGGAAAGUUUUGAUUAAUACUGUCCAGGCAUCUGUCUUCAGUUGUUUGAUGUGUGUCAGAUAUUCAACCCUUGCUAUCUCUCUAUUCGACCUUUAAACACACAGGCACACACGCCCCUGCGAUCAUGCAUAUACACACACCUGGAGUGGGAAGAGAGACGUUUCGGUUCUUAUGAAGGAAGCCAGAGGCUACUGUCACUGAGAUCAGAUGCUGAAUAUCUCACAAUAAAUUACAGCUGACUCUCAGAGGCCCUCAUCCUUGAACCUUGAACAUGUCAGCUCUGGAUAACCCCCACACACAGAUACACAAACCUCUUUAUGUGUGUGUGUGUGUGUGUGUGUGUGUGUGUGUGUGUGCACAUAUGAGUGAGUUUUCAACCCUAUUUACUAAUGGAAGCCUCUGAGGCCCCUGAGUCGCUAUGCAUUUUUAAUGAUGUCAAAUUGUCAUUUCGCUGCACUGUUUGCUGUUCAAAGGAAGAGGAACAUUGGAUCAAACACAGAUGUAUUAAACUGUGUGUAGACACAACAAAGAACCAAAAAAAAAAAAAACGAUGAAGAUUACAAAACACAAGUUGUUUAUGCUAAGGUACAAGAACUGAAGACGACAUGUAGCUUCACAGCUCUAAAGUUACUCCUCAGAAAAAAAAAACGUAUAAGCGCAAAUACAGCAAAGUUGUUUUCUUUGUUACUUUAAGUCAAUCAACUUGAUUCCAAGUUAAUGCGACUAAAUACUUUGACAACUGUGCAGCCCAUGAAGUUAGAAGUUUUUUUCAGCAAAUUAAAGCUCCUUUGAGGAGUCUUUGAAAUUUACAGAUUGAUUAUUACAGACUGAAAUUCAUAUUCAUGUCUUUUUAUGACAUCUAAAAGCAAAGAAGACCAUCUCCUACAAGAGUGCCCACUGAAUGUUGUCAUUUUUAAUGCCAGUAUGAGGGAGUAGGUGUCAGCCAAGAAGCAAAAGAAACAGACCUGCAGACUCGACUCUUAUGUUGGCAGGAAGAGUCCAAACCGGUUAUCUUGAAACUAAAAGGUUGUGUCAUUUAAAACUGUAUGAUCAUAAAAAAUUCUGUGACUGUUCAUGAAUUAUUAAAACUUAACUGCAUAAACAAGCCUUUGUUUACCGUGAAAAACAGACAAAAGCUUUGCAUCACAGAUACCAUGUAUGACACAAAACUUUCAGGUCAGAACUUACUCAAAGUUGUUUAAAGCAUUUUGGGAUUCAGUUUCCGUGUUGUAAUGGAGCAUGAAAACAAACACAUCGCCUCCAUACCUGUUUUGUUUUACCUGUACGAGCAGUGACUCAUUGUGCAUGUUUGUAUCUGAAUAUUGAGAUAGGAUGAAAUAAAAAUCAGGAGCUUAAAAUCCUGUAAAACAAUCUGAGUGUUUAUAACUGAGUGAAUUAGAGUGACAUUGUGAAGAACAAUGUCUCCUCUCUAUGUAAUUCUUCACUGUUGUAUUUUUUUAAUCAUGAUAUGGCUUCCUGUCCCCUCUCACCCUUUGUGAAAGGCGAACUUGCCCUCGGGGUGAGGGGAGCAGACCUGCCUUUAAUAGGGCCAACAACUUGACAAAUCUCACUCUGUCUUCCCCACAGAAACACACACAAGGAUACAAACACACACAGAUGUACACAUAAAUAAACCACACAUGGUCUCAGCUGAUGCACAGCGCUUGCAAACACUGACAAAUGCGUGCACACAAGCACCAAAAAUGAACAUUUCCGUUGGUGAGAAAGACAUGGGGCCGGUGACUCCUCGUCAGAGUGACAGCCCCCAUUGUCCGAGCUAGCUUUGGUGGUUGUAACAAGCAUUGGGACAUUUGAGCAAACAAAAGCAGGAUUGGGAGUGUCAUCAAUCAAUCGGCUGACAGUUGACUCAAGUUUGUUUGUCCCACACGCUGCAUAAUAAGUGAUUGGAUCUCAGCUAAUUAGAUAUUGGGUAAUCAAUCAUUGCCAACAAGGCACUUGGCUGGCUGACGGGGACUCUCCCUUUGCGUGUGCCCGUUGUCAUGAAAUAAAUUAGAAAUAAAAAUUAUUUAGUGCCAGCCAAAAGGUAAUUCCCACCAGUGAGCCGUCCAAGCACCGCCUUUGUGCAAAAGAGACACAUGGAGCAAGGGAGGAGGGAGGAGGAGGGGGGUCUCAUGUCCUAACCAAUUACUGAAAAAUUCAGUUGAGGAAUUUACAUAAUAAAUGAAGCAAUGAAAAAUUGAUAUAUUUGCUUGGAAUGAUGUUUUACGCUGCACAAACAUGCAUCUGACAAUGUGUCCACAUGGAGGCAAUAGGAAAAACACUGUCACAUAAUGUACUGACUUUUAUAUAUGCAAAAUAAAGUCAUUAUUAUAUCCGAUUAGCAAUACUUAAUCAUUGAAAUGUGAACAUCGAUGCAUUAAAAGUUAAACUAAUUUUAAUCAUGUUAUUCUUUUCAAUCGGCCUAAUUUCAGGUGAUCUGAAAGGCUUACAGUUUUGAUCAUAAUGUGUAGUAGGUGGCAUGAUAUCAGGUAGCUUUCUCAGUCCCUCAAGCUUCAAAAUUACAUCUGAAACUCUUCUGAGAUCAAGCCACAGCCAUGAAACACACACACGGCAUUUGUAGUGUCACAGUUUGUUCCCACCUUCUCUCUUCACGCUGUCAAAAUGUCUCCCUCACGCCUUUUUUCUCUUUUUGAGCCCAACACUCCAGAGGUACGGUGUUUUCUCUUCGUACUUCUCCCUUCUUCUUCUGUUUUUUUUUUUUUUUUUUUUUCCAUCCUCAGGUAGCCACUGUAAGAUACACAUUGUGUGUCUCCGCUAACAUUGCAAGGGCACAAAACAUGCAGUUUGGGAAAUCACAAGGCACGACAGAGGAGGAGAGAACGGAGGGAGGAAAGGGGGAGAGAGACAGAGGGAGUAAGUGUGAAAACAAGAAUGUGAGGUAGAGGUACAAGCGAAAGAGUGAGAAAGAAGAAGAAGUUAGAGACAAAUGAGGGAAGAGAGAGCAAGAUUAUCGCUCGAGGUGAAGAAAACACUUCUUUAUUUAUUUAUUUUUGCACAAAGCCAGAGUGUAAGUAAGUAAAGCAGCCAGCUGGGCCUCCGUCUCUCAGCAGUGUGUCGGAGCCUGUCACCGCCGCUGCCACCGAGACAGCUACAAGUUUACAACAGCUGCCGACUAAUGUUUGAUCAGUGAUAAAAUAUGCUGGGGUGACAACAUCAUGCUGCCCAUGCAUUUGUGCGGGCUUUGCGCAUUAAAAAUUCAGAGCCUGGCAAGUAAGUAUGGAGGGCCCUGAUGGCCUCAGUGCUGCCGCUACGCCCGCUCUCCCUCCCCCCCUUUAAAGGUACACCCAGGGAUGGAGACAAGUUCACAAGAUGUCAGAAAGCAUUUCUGUUUUGUGUUCACAGGAUGAGCCUUCCUCGGAGUAAACCCGCCCUCACGUCAGCCUUUGUACUGGAGGACCACCGCUGAGACCGUCAGCGCCACACAGGCAGAGAAGAAGAAUUCAACAGGAAGUAGCAGACAGCAGUGACGCUGGACAAAUUGGGGAAAUGUGGAUGACAUGUAACAAGUCGCAGAGAAAGAUGACUGAGAAAAAGUGGGAAGUAGAAGAACUACAGCGCCAGAGUUUGUUGAACAGCAAAAUGGAGACAAGUAACUUCCUCUAGCUGCACUCGUACUGUCCCCAUGCUCAACAUACUUUAAAAUAAC